GAAUGCCUGACUAAUUGCGAAAUGUUUGCCGGGAAGACUUCCCAGGAAUUCUCGAAGAGACCGGCAGACACGUCCCAGUCGUUGGAGCCGAGCUCGCCGUGAUUCGAUGUUUGUCACAUAAUUGUUUAAUUGCACGUAGGGCAGAUGGAAGUGGAUAUCGAUCAUGUCGAAAACCAUAUACGAAUACAUCACCCAAUGGGCACAGCCAUUUGCAGUCAUUCUGCAAUCACUUUAGCACUUUUGACAAACCAACCAUCGCCUAAGAUUAUGCUACGUCUAUUUAAGGAAUCCACAAGUUGGAGGGCAGCGGUCUAAUAGAGUGGGGAACUGGUUUCCCGAUCCAGAAAUACUCCAACGGGUGAUGUAACAGAGAACUCCACAUUUUGUUGUAUCAGACGACUCGUAAACAUGUCUACGACACACGACCUAUAACGGAACCCAAAAACCAUGAGUCCCACCCAAACGAAAAAGUUCCUAACCCAUUAAUCGCACACCGAAAGAAAUAGUCGAGCAUUAAGAAUAGGAAACCAAGAGGCAGAGGCUGAUUUGCUUUGUAGCGAGAUGGAGAAAUACAUUCGUAAAAAGUAAAGAUAAGUUCUAAAGACGGAAACUCAACGAUAAUACAAUAAGUUCAAGGGCACAUAUUUCCAAAAAAUUUGUUGCCAACUCAAGAGCUUUGCUGAAUAUUUUUUUGUUCAGUGGCAUGACCAACCUUCAUCUGCAUUCAAAUGUCGUCAUAUAUCAAGCAGCAAUAUCGCGGGAUAUUGAACUCUUCGAAUUCAUUUGGAAAAAUGCAGGGCUGGCAGAACGAUCAUGGAAGUGGAAUGAGAAGUGGAAAGAUCCCACAAAGCCCCUACAAGCAUUUAUAUCAUAUGCAAAUUAAUGAGCGCAGUUAUUAGAACGGUGCUUGAUCGAUCCGAGAUCGAGAUCGAGUUCGAGCUGGAGCUGGAGCUGGGGAUGGAGAUGGAGAUGGACACAGAAGAAAGAAAGGCAUCCCAAAUUUGGGCCACUGCAUGGGUUAUUCUAAUGAGG
This is a non-coding RNA of Drosophila melanogaster (fruit fly), 1032 nucleotides long. The record is from Ensembl. NCBI's taxonomy places the organism in Eukaryota, Metazoa, Arthropoda, Insecta, Diptera, Drosophilidae.